GACGAACGCUGGCGGCGUGCCUAAUACAUGCAAGUUGAGCGCUGAAGGUUGGUACUUGUACCAACUGGAUGAGCAGCGAACGGGUGAGUAACGCGUGGGGAAUCUGCCUUUGAGCGGGGGACAACAUUUGGAAACGAAUGCUAAUACCGCAUAAAAACUUUAAACACAAGUUUUAAGUUUGAAAGAUGCAAUUGCAUCACUCAAAGAUGAUCCCGCGUUGUAUUAGCUAGUUGGUGAGGUAAAGGCUCACCAAGGCGAUGAUACAUAGCCGACCUGAGAGGGGGAUCGGCCCCAUUGGGACUGAGACACGGCCCAAACUCCUAAGGGAGGCAGCAGUAGGGAAUCUUCGGCAAUGGACGAAAGUCUGACCGAGCAACGCCGCGUGAGUGAAGAAGGUUUUCGGAUCGUAAAACUCUGUUGGUAGAGAAGAAAGUUGGUGAGAGUGGAAAGCUCAUCAAGUGACGGUAACUACCCAGAAAGGGACGGCUAACUACGUG
This 497-nucleotide ribosomal RNA is filed under the name uncultured bacterium. RNAcentral describes it as "partial 16S ribosomal RNA". It matches the Rfam family "Bacterial small subunit ribosomal RNA", at positions 28 to 507 of the family's 1533-position model. The record is from RNAcentral.